GCCUGGGUGGCUCAGUCGGCUGAGCGUCUGACUUCAGCUCAGGUCACGAUCUCGCGGUCCGUGGGUUCGAGCCCCGCGUCGGGCU
Molecule: transfer RNA, 85 nt
Filed under: Felis catus (domestic cat)
Lineage: Eukaryota; Metazoa; Chordata; Mammalia; Carnivora; Felidae
Rfam family: tRNA
About the family: Transfer RNA (tRNA) molecules are approximately 80 nucleotides in length. Their secondary structure includes four short double-helical elements and three loops (D, anti-codon, and T loops).
Source: Rfam by way of RNAcentral